UUCACCUAGAUCAUCCCUAGCCAAGAGCUAGAAGUCGCAACGCUAUUCAGGACGACCGCACGUGAGAUCUUAUUUUCAUCUAUUCACAGGACGCGAUACUGGAAUUAAAGGACCAUGUCGGGAUUCUCAGUCAAGAUAACAAGUACCAGAACUCCAUGCCAUCUUUUGGAGGGUUUAACUGUUAUAUUCCGCCUCUUUGCGGAAAUAUGAUGGUUUAAACCUUAGUAGUUUAUGUCAUAUUAAUGUAUGAAACAAUAA
This is a long non-coding RNA of Helianthus annuus (common sunflower), 258 nucleotides long. RefSeq lists it as uncharacterized. Lineage: Eukaryota; Viridiplantae; Streptophyta; Magnoliopsida; Asterales; Asteraceae. The transcript has 3 exons. The record is from RefSeq and is a predicted model, not a curated record.